RNAcentral lists this long non-coding RNA (463 nucleotides) under Equus caballus (horse). RNAcentral describes it as "lncRNA (ENSECAG00000048461.1)". Lineage: Eukaryota; Metazoa; Chordata; Mammalia; Perissodactyla; Equidae. The record is from RNAcentral.
GACGCUUUACCUGUCAGAUGGCCCAGGCUGCGGACACAGAAUCCUCCUGAAAACUUGUUUUCAAAAGGCUUUCCAAGAGGUCAUAGAUUUGGCUUUCAGCGGAGGAUGGAGUUGCGGGUUUGUGUAUUUUAAAUAAGGUAUUAGGACAAGUAGACAAGGAAGAAAUUUACUGACAGUUGCUGAAUGGCAACUGGCAGGAGGAGAGGAGAAGCUAUGAGAACAGUUAGAAGAGGUAAAGAGGCUUCUCCAGAAAUGCCAUACCACCUCCUUCAGUUCUCCAGUGGAGUAGCCACCGGCUGGUAUAACAAUGGACCAAGGCAGAAAAAAAAGAAAAGAACAACUCAUCAGAAACCAGGCUUUUGUCAGAAAGAAAAAAGAAAAAACAAUGCUCAAACCCAACUGCAGCAAGCAAUUAGGGAACAAUAGCUAAAUACUUUCUAUAAUUAGAGAGAGAAACUGUCGC